This is a long non-coding RNA of Alligator mississippiensis (American alligator), 632 nucleotides long. RefSeq lists it as uncharacterized. NCBI's taxonomy places the organism in Eukaryota, Metazoa, Chordata, Crocodylia, Alligatoridae. The record is from RefSeq and is a predicted model, not a curated record. The transcript is spliced from 4 exons.
UCUCCUCACAGCCAGGCCUAAUACCGAACUUAUCACAGCCAAAGAAAUCUGGAAAUUUCAACAAGAUUGGACAAGGUAAAAUGCAACUGGUCCAGACAUGCAAAGAAACACCUCCUCAGACAUCAUGCUCAGUGAAUACAGAAUGGCUAAUUGGGAUUUAGAGAAGAAGAGGGACCGGGACUCCCCCACCAUGAUUCAAGAUGGACUGAAGGGGAACGCCUCAAGACCUAAGGUUGAGGAGGACCGGACCAACACAGCUACAAAAUACAUCCCUGAAACAUGGAAAAUGAUUAAUUUUAGCUGAUUUUGGAUUUAAGCUUCAUUGCUGAACAACAAGAAAAAUUUCUACACCUCCCUGCCUUUCUGCCAUCUGACAUCACCAGGGAAGGAAUCCUGCCUGAUCUGCACAUCAAAGGGCUACUCACAAAGACACUUGCAUGGACCCAGAGGAACAGACUUCCACCUUCAGCAUCCUCUGUGCAAAAAUGAAGUUUAUUUUCUACCUAUGGGAACUUUUUACCAUUUUUAAUUUUCCUGAGCCUGAGGAAGGGCAUGUGUGCCCACAAGCUUGCAGAAAAAGAUAAUUUUUUGGUGAUUUCUUAGGUGGUCUAAUAAAAGGUAUUAUCUCUGAA